GUUGUAUAUAAAAGUCUUUAAAGAGUUCUGGUGCAUGUGUAUACGCAUCACUCGCUGCUGAAUAUUCGACCUGAUAGAAACAAAUUAAUUAACGAUGACUUACCCGGGAACCCACUUGAAGAAGCAACGUACAGAGCCAUCGAUCCUCACCUUGGUCGUACUGAAUUAAUGAUAACUUGAUGCGAUGCGAUGAUCCGCAUGAUCGUACCUGAUCCGACUGGAUGUAUUCGACCACAUGCAGCACC
This is a long non-coding RNA of Wasmannia auropunctata (little fire ant), 245 nucleotides long. RefSeq lists it as uncharacterized. The record is from RefSeq and is a predicted model, not a curated record. NCBI's taxonomy places the organism in Eukaryota, Metazoa, Arthropoda, Insecta, Hymenoptera, Formicidae. The transcript is spliced from 3 exons.